Molecule: long non-coding RNA, 1790 nt
Organism: Syzygium oleosum
Lineage: Eukaryota; Viridiplantae; Streptophyta; Magnoliopsida; Myrtales; Myrtaceae
Exons: 2
Source: RefSeq, a predicted model, not a curated record
AUCGCCGCUGCCGCCACCGCCGCCUCUCACGUUCCUGUUCUCUCUUUCCCCAUCAUCGCUGCCGCCACCGCCACCCCCACACCCUCAAUAUUCUUCUUCUUGCUCCAUAUUUUUUCCCCUCAAUGGAGACCAAGGAAAGAGAGAUCAUUCUUUGCUAGGAAUCGCCAUUACUGUGUCUUUUAUUACAUGGAUUUCAUUCUUGGCCAUAUCUUUUCUUCCAUCGAUCCAUUGUUGUCCUUUUUUCCUUUGACCUUAUCCCAUAUUUUCCUGCUAAAAGUUUUGGGAUGGAGUUUUCAUUAGCUAGGGUUUAUUUAUUUGGAAGACAUUGACAUAAGGAAUCUCUGAAGCUCUUCCCUUUUAAUUUUCUGUUCUUGACGAUAUUCCGGACCAUAGUUCUUCCUCUUCUUUUUUUUUUCCUCCUCUUAUUCCACAUGUUUUUAUCUCUCUCUUUUUUUUGGCGAACUUUUAUUUCCAUCUUCAGAGGGCCAAAUAUUUCACUCUAGAAGGUUUGUCAAAUGAUCCGCAAGCAGCUGCCCACAGUCAUUUGUUUGCAGGUGCAGCAUCAUCAAGAUUCACACACGAUUUCACGGCAUAGACAUGAAUUUCGCCGACAGAGGUUUAGUAUUGAGAAUCUUGAUGAUGCUGCAUCAGCAAUCAAUGACUAGUAUCCCAUUAUCCACAGCCUUUAAUAUAUUGAGCAUUUGAAGAAGUGUGUAUACAUGUCUAAUCUCAGGGUCUUUUCUUCACUUCUGGAUAUAAAAGGUCCCAUAGGACUGUAACUAUGUGUUUAUUUUUCUCUUCCUUUUCAUUUUAAAAUUAUUAAUUGAAAUAGUGGGAUGUUUUGUGCAUACACCAAUUAAUUGCAGCAACGCCAAAGCAGCUAGCAUGUGUAUACACAGAAGGAGGAAGUGCUCAGCCAUCAAGUGAUACUGAAGUUUCUUUGGCAUAAAAGGAGAUUAGCAUGCCAUGUCGUCGGAGUACCUUCUUUUAGCCGGUACAAUCAGGCGAGCUUCUUUCUCUCCCUCGUCCAGUCCAAGGCCGUCUGUCCGUCCGAUCACGCCAGAAAGUAGGAUGUUUGUGAGAAAUUUCUUCCUCGAGACUCAGAAGUCGGGCUGUAGCUUUUGUUAUUGUAAUAAGAUUAAUUCACGCAGUGUUCUCUUGGGUCGAACAAUUCAACAGCAGGUCUUCUAUAUGUCUUUUGACAAAGUUCCUAUCACGCAUCUCAUCUAAUAAUAUCAUUGCAGGUAAAACUAUUAUUUACAGAUGGAAUUUAGUAUCAGAUGUGAAAAAAAUGGUCCUCUCCUGCUACAUCUCCAUGGUUCCGCACUGGAAGCUGCUCAUCUCCAAGAGUAUAUUUGCAAUCAAUUUGCCACGUCCUAAUCGUGUUGCAUCACUUUCUCUUUUCCCUGAACUGUACCUUUCUGAAAACCCUCCAAACGAAGAGCAAGCAGGACAGAAUUCUCUUAUCAUUUCCAUGCAUACGUAUAAGUAGGUCAUAGACGAGAAGGGUUUUACAUUAGGGGCAGGGACAGAUUGAUCGAACUAUCAUGAACAAGUAUUCGAUCCAGAUUGACAAGGAGGCCGGGCUGUUAGACUGCUCGAGUUCUUUGGAUUGCAUCCUACAAUGCAAGUGUUUCCUACGUUUCGCCUAAAUUGUUAAUCAUGCACGAUCAGCAGAAAGAUUGAUCAACAGUAUUAUACGCGUGUUUAAUACAUGUCACUUCUCUUAAACAAGUGUAGCCACAUUGUCGGCAACUCGGUCAACACACGUCGGAUGUCUUUUUACGGUA